UACAGGGGGUGCAAACGUUGCUCGGAAUCAUUGGGCGUAAAGCGCACGUAGGCGGUCUGUUAUGUCGGAUGUGAAAGCCCUUGGCUCAACAGAGGAAGUGCAUCCGAAACUGGCAGGCUAGAGUACUAAAGAGGAUCGCGGAAUUCCCGGUGUAGAGGUGAAAUUCGUAGAUAUCGGGAGGAACACCGGUGGCGAAGGCGGCGAUCUGGGUAGAUACUGACGCUGAGGUGCGAAAGCGUGGGGAGCAAACAGG
This 253-nucleotide ribosomal RNA is filed under the name uncultured bacterium. Its description in RNAcentral is "partial 16S ribosomal RNA". It matches the Rfam family "Bacterial small subunit ribosomal RNA", at positions 524 to 776 of the family's 1533-position model. The record is from RNAcentral.